This 253-nucleotide ribosomal RNA is filed under the name uncultured bacterium. Its description in RNAcentral is "partial 16S ribosomal RNA". It matches the Rfam family "Bacterial small subunit ribosomal RNA", at positions 524 to 776 of the family's 1533-position model. The record is from RNAcentral.
UACAGGGGGUGCAAACGUUGCUCGGAAUCAUUGGGCGUAAAGCGCACGUAGGCGGUUCGUUAUGUCGGAUGUGAAAGCCCUUGGCUUAACCGAGGAAGUGCAUCCGAAACUGGCGAGCUAGAGUACGAAAGAGGAUCGCGGAAUUCCCGGUGUAGCGGUGAAAUGCGCAGAUAUCGGGAGGAACACCGGUGGCGAAGGCGGUUCUCUGGGCCUGACCUGACGCUGAGGAGCGAAGGCGUGGGGAGCGAACGGG